GCCUCCAUAGCUCAAUUGGUAGAGCAGCGGACUCUUAAUCCGUUGGUUCUAGGUUCGAGUCCUAGUGGAGGCACCA
RNAcentral lists this transfer RNA (76 nucleotides) under Acidobacteriota bacterium. RNAcentral's name for it is "Acidobacteria bacterium (groundwater metagenome) tRNA-Lys". It matches the Rfam family "tRNA". From Rfam's summary of the family: Transfer RNA (tRNA) molecules are approximately 80 nucleotides in length. RNAcentral also lists the same sequence under 1 other name. The record is from RNAcentral. Lineage: Bacteria; Pseudomonadati; Acidobacteriota.